Molecule: non-coding RNA, 904 nt
Organism: Hydra vulgaris (swiftwater hydra)
Lineage: Eukaryota; Metazoa; Cnidaria; Hydrozoa; Anthoathecata; Hydridae
Source: RefSeq, a predicted model, not a curated record
UCGACCGUUCGUAUUGCAUUUUGAGAACUCAAAUACGCAUGCGUGACUCUACUAGAUAUUUCUAAGGCCUUCUGUUGCCUUUUUAUAAGGUUUUAAAUUUGACAAUUUAACAAUAUCAUAUGGCUUGACUUGUGAUGCAGUUAGUUGGAUAAAUAUUAAAGAGAUAUUUUUUUAUGACGGUAAUAUUUCAUGGGUGUGGAUUACAAGUAGAAUUUGCUUGAAUUUUUUUUACAGUUUUUCAAGAACCACUACUGUUCUUAUGCAAGAGAAAAUAUAAUCUAACCAAAAAUAACCAAGUACCUACUCCUAUAACGCAAAAAAAGAAAAAGAAAACAACUUUUAUGCAUACUCUGCAUACUAUAGUUCAAGAAGAUCCUGUAUUCAGAAAACGUCACAAAUUAACCGAAUAGUCGGUUAAUUUGUGACAAAUUAACCGCAAAUUGAUGAGAACUGUUAUCCGGUUUUUGAAACGGAUAACCGGCAAAAUCACUAGUGCAAAGCCAAGGUGGCGUGUGUGUUUUUCCACAGAAAAGAAAAAAGGUUGUUUUGCCAGAGACACCUGCAUUUGUUUCCCUUAUAAAAAAAGCUACUAAAAAAGAUUCCUUAUCGAAUGGAAAGUCUCCCAUUACUGAGGAAGAAUUUCAGAAGAAAGUUCUAAAUGCACUGGUAGAAAAGAAAGAGAUGUUAGUAAAGCUCUUUCCAGUAAUUAAAAUAAUAUCACGACAAAUAGUCCUGAUAUUUUAUGGAUGAAUUCGCAGCAGUCAUUUUCGUAAUUAUGAUGACAGUUUUAAUGAUUUUUGGAUAAGGUCUGAAGUUAGGUUAUUUCAAAUCAUGACUUUUUGCAACUUUUUUAUUGCUUUUUUGGGAUUAUGUAUUUGCUUAAGUUAAUCUACUUGUAACUUUU